AAAGGGAGUCUGAGCAUCUUUUCACGUUUCAGAAACAAUGUUUCCUAUUUUGUUAGACACGUAAGUUUUGCACACCCAGUAAAUGUCUAUAGAGAGACGAUCCUCCUGGCGUGGGCAGGCGGGGGAGGCCCGGGGAGCACUGCAGUCGCCUGCCUGCUCAUGUUCUGGGCCCCAGGCCUCUCUGAUGUCCCAGCUCCGGGCCGCCCCCUGCUGCGCCCCCAAGGCCUGUGAAGCUCCUGCUCAGCUGCUUACUGCCCCCCGGACCCCGCCGUGACCGCCGGCCCAGAGCCAGGCCCAGCAGAGGGGGCUGUGCUGGCACCGUCAAGACCUGGUAGCAGACCCACAGAGGCCCCGACGUAAACCCAGACCCAAAUGUAAACCCGGGCCUCAGACGUCAACCUCGGCCCUGAGGUGGGCGGAGCUCCGGCCUGGAGAGGCGAUCCCGGUCUGCGGAGGGCGCGCAGAGCGAGGAUGGCGCCGUGGUCUCCAGAAGCGCCUGGCGGCCCCGUGCGUCCGGGGUCCGCCCCUCAACGGCGCCACGACCAGCACCCGGCACUCGCACCGAGACCCUCACGCCGAGACCCGUCUAUGUCCAGGGAGAGAUUCAAGACCUGGGAGAAAUUCUCCUGUUGGCUUUGAAGGAGUGAACCGCCAUUUUGGAGAGAGGCCCACACGUGAGGGAGCAGCAGGUGGUCUCUGUCAGCUGAGUGCCUGAGUCCAACAACUACAAGGGAAUAAAUUACAACAAUGACCACGUGUGCUGAGAAGAGGACCAGAGCCUCCAGCCCGGGCCAGCACUUGUAAUGCAGCCUCGUGAGGCCUGAGCAGAGGACCCAGCUAACCUGUACCUGACCCACAGAAACAUGAGAUGCCUCCACAGCGUGGCCUGAUGAACUGUGUGUAGGUCUGCACCUAGGAUCUGAACCCUCCAAUCCUGGGCCGCUGAAGCAGCGUGUGAACUUAACCACUACACCACCAGCCCCCUGGUACACAGCUGUAUAUUCCAGUUGUGAGUGCCUCUGGUUGUGGCAUGUGGGACGCUGCAUCAGCAUGGCCUGAUGAGGGGUGCCAUCUCCGAGCCCAGGAGCCAAACUGGUGAAACCCGGGACCGCCCAAGCAGAGCGGGCGAACUUCAACCCCUCGGCCACUGGGCUGGCCCCUGUUAAACUUUUUAUAUACAGAACCAUAUAGACUGUGUAUAAUGAGUUUUAUUCUUUUGUUUCAAAGGCUUAUAUAUUCCAUUUUGAUGUGUAUGCCUUGUUGGAUGAGCUUACACUUCAGUAAUAAACAGAAUAAAUAUGAUGAGAGAGGCAUCCUGGUCUUAGUCUCAGAUCUAGGGAGAAAGCUUUCAACAUUUCUCUAAGUGUGAUAUUUCACCUAGGUGUUUUGUACACGGCUUCCUUUAUCAGACUAGGGAAGUUUAACUCGAUUUUUAGGUUGCUAGUGUGAAUGGUUUUUCAAUUAUGUCAAUUUCACGUUUUUAAGGAUAUCUGUGUGUGUGUAUAUAUAUGAGAUCAGCAUAUAAUAUUUAUUCUUAUCAUGUCUCUGUUAAGAUUUGGUAUCAAAUUUUUGCUGGUAUGUAAAACUGGUUAGAACGUAUUUAUCAAUUGUCUAUUCUCUGGUCAAUUUUGGGAAAGAUUGGUAUCAUUCCUUCAUUAAAUAUUUGGUAGAAUUCACUAGUUUAGUGUUUGAGGUCUGGAGUUUACUUUGUGGGAAUAUUUUUACUAAUUAAUUCAAUUUAUUGAAAACUAUAUGAUGAUUUGGAUUUUUAUCUCUAUUUAGUCAGGCUUGGUAAAUGGUAUUUUUCUAAAGCUGAAACUAUUUAAUCUAUACUCCAAAAUUAGUACCAUUUUCCCUCACAUGUUAUCACCAUCUUUGUUGACAAAUUCGAGAUUGAUGAUGUACGUUUAUCGUUUCUAGUAUUGUUUCUGUUUUCUGUCUUUUUUCUUGAUCAGUAUUCCCAGGGGUUUAUCAGUUUUAUGAUUUUUUUUCCAAAGAGCUAACUCUAGAUUUUGCUGACUUGUCUAGAGCAUGUUUGAAUGCUGUUUCAUUGAUUUCUACCCGUAUCUUUAGUGUUUUAUCCUUUCUACAUUUUUUCUGAAAAUUACAUAAACAUCCAUCUCAACAAGUUUAAAAAGAGUAAGUUAUUUGAAAUCUUCAUAUUAAAAUUUUAAGGAAGCAUGUUUUCAGUCCAAAAUAUUUUCUAAUAUCCUCCAUAAUUACUUUUCACCCUAUGGAUAAUUUAGAAGUUCUCUUCUUAAUUUCUGAAUUUGUGAUGAGGUUGUAGACAUACUGGGUGAAUUUCAGAGUGGUCAGAGAAUAUACUGUGUAGGAUUUUAAACCUUUGAAAUGUGUUGAGCCUUGUCUGACAUUAUUGGAGGCAGGAAAUUAUAACAAUACCUUUGUAGAUGGUCUAGUCAUUAAAAAAAUAAGCAAUAAAUACAGAGGAAUAAAUAUAUUUAAACAACAUGUCUGGUGUCUAAAAGUUUAUGGAUUUUACAGAAACAGGAAAUAAGUAAGUAAAACAGAC
Long non-coding RNA from Equus caballus (horse), 2530 nucleotides. The record is from Ensembl. NCBI's taxonomy places the organism in Eukaryota, Metazoa, Chordata, Mammalia, Perissodactyla, Equidae.